CUACAGUCGACACGGCGAGCUUUCGCCUGAUAACGUGCUUAGCUAACUUCAAGUUUAAACAGAUGUUGACUUUUUUAGAUUACCCUUGGAAUUCAAGGCACAGACUGUUAUUUUAACUCCCAGAUCUUACAUACAGGGGUGGCUGAUAUUCAUUCCUCACCCUACUGGGGAUCCUGCAGCCUUCCCUGAUGACGACCGAGCAGAGCGGAGACCUCUUGGAAGAUGAUUCCCGGCAGGAAAAUGGAUUCGAGUCGAACCAUUACAGCUCCAUCUCUCCUCCUGCCUCACCCGUGGCCCAAGAGGAACCGUUCUCCACCUACUUUGAGGAGAGGGUACCCAUUCCAGAAAGUCCCAACCAGAUAUUCAGUUUCCGUAAACUCUGGGCCUUCACCGGACCGGGGUUUUUGAUGAGCAUUGCUUACUUGGAUCCUGGGAACAUCGAGUCAGACCUGCAAUCUGGUGCCAAAGCUGGUUUUCAGCUCCUAUGGGUGCUACUUGGAGCCACCAUUAUUGGGUUGUUGUUGCAGAGGUUAGCUGCACGCCUCGGGGUCGUCACUGGGAUGCACCUGGCUGAAGUUUGCAACCGCCAGUACCGCCCUGUUCCACGGAUUAUCCUCUGGUUAAUGGUCGAGCUGGCCAUUAUUGGCUCAGACAUGCAGGAGGUCAUCGGCUGUGCUAUAGCUUUCAACCUUCUGUCAGCGGGCAGAAUCCCACUGUGGGCAGGAGUUCUCAUCACCAUCACAGACACAUUUGUGUUCCUCUUUUUAGACAAAUAUGGCCUGAGGAAACUUGAAGCUUUCUUUGGAUUCCUGAUUACCAUGAUGGCUCUGAGUUUUGGUUAUGAGUACGUGCUGGUGAAGCCUGAUCAAGGAGAGCUUCUUAAGGGGAUGUUUUUGCCGUACUGCGCUAACUGCGGGCCUGUGCAGCUGGAGCAGGCCGUGGGAAUCGUUGGUGCUGUCAUCAUGCCCCACAACAUCUACCUGCACUCAGCGCUUGUCAAGUCAAGAGAAGUGGACCGGAAAAAUAAGAAAGAGGUAAAAGAAGCCAAUAAGUACUUCUUCAUCGAGUCAUCUAUCGCCCUUUUUGUGUCCUUCCUCAUCAACGUCUUCGUCGUGGCAGUUUUUGCUCAGGCCUUUCACAAUAAAACCAACAUGGAGGUGAAUGCUGAGUGCAAUGCUACCGGCAUCCCCCAUAGCGACCUUUUCCCUCUCAAUAACGGCACUCUGGAGGUGGACAUCUACAAAGGGGGAGUGGUGCUGGGAUGUUUCUUUGGUCCUGUGGCUCUCUACAUCUGGGCUAUAGGGAUUCUGGCAGCUGGACAGAGCUCCACCAUGACGGGCACUUACUCUGGACAGUUUGUGAUGGAGGGAUUUCUGAACCUGACGUGGUCUCGUUUUGCCCGGGUGCUGCUGACCCGCUCCAUCGCUAUCACGCCAACUCUCCUCGUCGCCAUUUUCCAGGACGUUCAGCAUCUGACUGGGAUGAAUGACUUCCUCAAUGUGCUUCAAAGCAUGCAGCUUCCAUUCGCUUUGAUCCCAAUUCUGACAUUCACCAGUCUGACUUCCAUAAUGAAUGACUUUGCUAAUGGGCUGGUGUGGAAGAUUUCAGGAGGCGUCGUCAUCCUGGUGGUUUGCGCCAUCAACAUGUACUUUGUGAUUGUUUACGUGACUGCGUUGAACAGCGUCCUGCUCUAUGUUAUUGCUGCUCUCCUCUCUGUGGCCUAUCUAUGCUUCUUGAUGUACCUGGUUUGGCACUGCCUGGUUACCUUGGGGGUUUCCUGCUUGGACUGUGGCAGUGGGGUAAGCAACCGACCUGCUGUGCUCAUAGAGGAGCAGUCUGAGUACGAUUCCUAAAGCUGAACACGACAUUAACCGCCUGCAUGACUCUUACCUCUGGGGGAAAACUGCACACAACCAGUAAUUAUUGUAGGAUCAUGUAGGACCUUGAAGUCAGACUCUCUGCUCUUCUCAUGUUAUUUUUGUGUAGGGCUGGAUAUCAACAUUUGAUGCUUUUUAGGCUCUCAGACAUAUCAAAACUACAUUAGCACAGCAUAACUGAGCCAAAUGCUAGUGAGAAGUUAAUUUUAUUAAAACUCUUUACUCUAGAAAUGAAAUUAGCAGCUGUUUUCGGACUUUAACAAGACAUUUAGAAUUACUUGGAACAAUUUUUGUUAUGGAGCAAAGUUAUUGUGCUUUCAGUGACUUUUUCCUAGCUUUUUCUAGCUAAGGCAUACAUCAAUAAUGCAAGCCUACAUUAGACUUUUAUUUGUAACAUAAUCCAAAAGCAGUGCUAGAUGCAUUUCUAACCUCAUAACUAACAAGCAGGUACCGUCCAGCAGAAAACCGUAUGAAGCAGCGGGUUUUCUAUGUGUUGGAGCUGGACAUUUGUGUUUCUUCACAUGCACCCCUUCUGGUACACAAAUAUAAGAUCGCAAGGCUACAGUAGAUCUGUAAAAAUUACAUUUGGUUUAGCUGACGAGCAGCUAAAGGUCUCUAAUGAUAACAAAGACUCCAUGAUUUAGAUCACCUGUUGUUUAAAUUCCUUCAAACCCGAGUCCUUGUCCAGGCCUCGCUGUUAAGUCUGAUCUAGAUUGAAUGUGGGGAAAAAAAGUGAACUUCUCAAGAGUAUACCUUGUGUUUCUGUCUUAUGGAAACUGUUCUAGUAGCAAUUUUGAAAUUUCAGUAAAACAGAUGAAACAAUAUUUUAAAUUAAUGACAAAAAUAUAAUAUGUUGCAUAAAAAGAGGUUUUGCUUCCCACACAUCUUCCUAGAUUUCGUCUUUUAAAUCACUGUUAACUGGAACAUUUAUUCCGCUUAUAAAAAGGAGUUUUAUAAGGAUUUCCAUCCUGACUACCUCAGUGUUCUCUGCUGUUUCAUCUAUGAGUAGCAUCACAUUGUACAUUUUUUGUUGCAUCUAAUAUUUUAAAAAUAUUACUGGGUCAUAAAUAGGUAUUGCUUUAUUUUUAUACGGUAAAAAGCUCUGAAUGAUAUCCAGCCCCAGUGAGUUCUGCCCUCUUGGUUAGUGUUGAUUUUGUUUUUGUGUUCUAAGCUGAUUCUGCUCCAGCACAUAAAGAAAGCUAAAAAAGCAAGUUUCAUUGUUAUGCGCUGGGGUAUGGGGUAUGUUUUGUCACUUUUUGUUUUCUCUUUGCACAAUGUGAGAUUAGACUGAAGCAGGGUUUAAUCUUAAAUUAGUAUUUAUAGAAAAAAAAUAAAUAGAGGGUGCACUCUCAUGCAGUUUUACAGACUUAUACAAGUUCAUAGGUUUUCUGUUACUGCAGCUUCCUCCACUAACAAUGUCUUUAGUGCCUCAAUAAUCCGGUCGCCAGAGAGGCGUGGCCAUGCUUCUGCACGUAUGUGUUGUCUUCUAUAUGAGCUCAUCACCAUACAGACAAUGCAGGAGUUUUUUGAUAUGUCACAGGUGGGGGAAAAACAAAAUGGACUGUUAGUUUCCAUAUGUGACACAUGUUUAGCGCAUUUAUUUAUAGAAAAGAAUCUUUACACAAGUGGAUAAGAGUCUUAUGAUGUAUUCUAGAUAUAUAUUCAUAUGGUUGUUUUGUCAGAAUAUAUUUUUAGCUUUAAAGACUGCGAUGCUGGUAGCGUGGAGAUGGGUUUGCAUCUGAAUUACUUUUAAAAAUAUAUAUAUAAACAGGGAAUAAUAAAAUAUAUAAAAGAAUAAUUUAUAUAUUCUAUAAUUGCAUUUUUAAGAAUUAAAAAAACCAAAAGUUUAACUUUUCUGAAUAAAACUCCAUCCUGUAAGAUUUCUUUGAAAAAGUCGAUGGAUGAAUGCACAUCAUUAAUGUGAGUUGGUUGAAAACCUCUAACCUUAAAGGAAAGUUUGUUUUUCUAGCUUCAAUGUCUGUUUUAAACAGGUUUGUAUACCUUUUUUGGAUCCGUCUGUUCCAAGUAUAAAACUGUUAACUUUUACUGUAGAUAAUUUGAAACCUAGGAUCACUUUGUAGUUUAGCGCUGGAAAGAAAAUGCAUAGAUGAAAACAUAAGAUAUCAAAAAUAAACCUGUCAAAGAAUAUAAAUUUGCAUUUAGUCAUAGUUUAAGAACAGCUGAAAAACAUGCAAAAAACAUGGCCUAGUAUAGUUGUCGUUUGUUUUAAUAAAGUGAGGAAAGAACUGGUCAUUCUAAUGUUUUGCAGAAUUUUAUGACGGUAAAUCAUUACUUAUGACCAGAAAAAGCCUCUCAUAUUUUUCAUGAAGUUAAGUUGAUUCUAAGAAGAAAUGAGUAAUAAAGCAAUACAUUUGAAAUUGUGUAAUAUAAUAAAGCUGUAAACUGAGCAAUAUCCAAGUGAUGUGAAGAUGUUCACAGAUGGGAGCACUGUGUUAAAGCAGUAAGCCUAGUUCAGAUCUGCAUUCAGGAAUAACCGUCACAGGAAGGGAUCGUUUUCUUCGUUGGAGGGGUUUGUUUGUUUGUUUGUUUAUCAUGGGUCAAACCCAGCUCCAGAUUUAUACAUUUUAAGCUCUUUCUUUUUUGUUGAACUAUAUAUAUAUAUUUGCUUUUACACAACUUUGAGUUUUUCACUGUUAGGAAUACCUCACACAGCUACACAAACAAAAACAAAAAAAGGAAACGCACAAGCGUUACAGAAAACUAUCUGAAAGUAAUGAUGUCUACACUGAAAGUGUUAUGUGAUAUUUUCUUCAUUUCUGUUGUUCUAUGAUGCUGGAUGAAGCACCCCAUGUGUCCAAAAUAAAAGCUAAUUAUGGAUAUGUGGACAUGUGUUGGAGUCUUCUGUCUCAGCGUCUACAACCUGGCUUGUGAUAAGUUGUAAUUAACCGUCAAAUAUAUUCGAUAUACCAAAAGUUUGCACAAUCAUGACAAAAGGUGGGUUUUUCUGAUGUAAAACAUUACACCACGUUAAAGUAUUUACAAGCUUUUUAUGCUGUACAAUUUAACAAAAACUUCAAAAUCUGGUGAAGCGAUUCUUUUCUUUUUACAAAAUUACAGUAACUGUGUUGCAUGAGUGUGCACACCCUUAAACUAAUAACCCGAGGAAGCACUUUUUUUUUUUAAUUUAACAGUCAGUGGUCUUUGGUAAGAGUCUAUCAGCAUUCAUCAUCCUGACGCGACAAAAUUUGCUGAUUCUAGCUUGCAAAAAUUCUUCAAGUCCUUCAUCUUGUUUGGACGUCUCUGCAGUUCUCUUCAGGUGACCCAACAGAUAUUCUGUCAGAUUUGGUUCUAGAUAAAAUUAAGUCUGACUCGACCAUUAUAAAACUGUUUACUAAAAAAUUAUCCUGGAUCCUUUUGAUUCUUUGUUACCUUUCUGCAAACUAGGGCUUUAUCUUGCAAAUGUCAGGGAAAUCAUACUAAACGCCUGGUUCAUCACAUUCAGUGGAACUUAUAUUAGAUGUGUACUAACAAAUUUUGUUUUACUUCUUAGUCAAAGGCAUUGCUCAUUUAAGCAACCAUGGCGCUGGGGGUUAUUUAAAUUUAAAAUGUUUCUUGUUAGCAGAUAUUUUAUUUUAUUUUUACAAGAUAAAUCUCACAUUAAAAUUGAAAACGUUUUGAAAUUACUUAUAGUGGUUUCUUUUUUUAUUAUGCUUUUUUAUUAUUAUUACAAAAAACUUAAUUUGUGUGCCCUUUAGUUAUUACAAUUUAUUUACUUUACUUUUUUAGGAGCUGGGAUGUGUAGUUCUUUAACAAAAGAAAUAAAUGACCAUGAUGAGAAAUAAUCACCUUUGAUCAAUCAGAUUUUAUUUAUAGAAGCGGUUUUCAUACAGCAAAAUUUCCACCUCACACAAGUUACUGGAACUGAGGAAACACUGAAGAAUAUAAAAACUGCAAGGUUUGAAAACAAAAAAAUACUUUCACCAUAAGAUAUAAUACUACAUUUUUUUCAAAAAUUGUGAAAAAUAGAUAAAAAAGAUAUUAACGACAUUAUGAUAAAACUAAAAUUGCAUUAGAACCAAACCCACUCAAACUGUACUCAAAAUUUGAUAAACAGAUAAAGUGAGAGGUGGGUAAUAAAAAACUAAAGUUCAUGUAAAAACCAUGUUAGGAGAAGAUUUUUAUUUGAAUUUUAAAAAUAUUAACACUCAUAGCUCUCCUCGUCUUAUCAGAAAGGCUGCUCAAAAACUGUUUCACAUGCAGUUAAAAAGUGCAUAAAUCGCUUUUGGUCAUCUGGAUAUGUGGCAGUAUAAAGCUGUGAGCCAACUGGUAGAAUAUAGGAUUAAAAAGUGUGGGACCUAAACAUUGAGCCUUGUGGAACUCCAUGAUCUUAUUCAUAAAAUGUUAAUGAAGCAUUCCCCCUAUUUAAAAAUAAUUUCCUGUCUUUAGGAUACAAACUGAGCCACUUAAGGACAGUUAUGGAAAUUCCAGUCUGUCCCAAGCUGAUGAGGAAACCUAACUAAUAAUAGUUACGUUGUAUUUUUAGAGCAAUAUGUGGGUUUGGGAGCCUUUGUCCAUAUACAGUGAUAGAUUUACAGUCAAAAAGACAGUUAUUAGUUUUUAAACACUUUAUCUUCAGUUUGUUAGCCGAGGCACACUUCAAUCAUACCAAAAGAUAUCACAACAUAUUGAGUUAACAGUUUACCCCCUUAUUACUCACCUCUAUUAGGAAAGAGAUUGAUGGUGGGUCAAAGUUCAUGUACUUCAUGUGGUUUAUAUACAAACUGGAAAGCAGGGCAGUGUAUCAAAACUGACGUAAUAGUAAAACCCUAACAAAAACAUAACUAUUGUAAUAUCUAAUCUAUCAAAUCAAAUCAAUGUUGUGCUAAAUAACAGAACUGCCAUGUAAUAUCCUUCUGAGACCCAGAAGAAAAAAGGUUUUGGUAUUUAGAUUUUUUUUUUUGAUAGUUUUAAGUAUUAAGGUUGAAAGAAACAUAUGGCAACAAUUUUGUUUUUCAUAAAUGUUAUUUAUUUAGAUUUUAUCAAUCGUCUCUUACACUGGACAUUGGGUCUUGCUUGGUAAAAAGGUUUUCUUCACUUAAUGAGCAUUUAAAACUGAUAAAUUCCAAUUACUAAAUACUUAAAACAGAUCAAUCCUUUUUUAAAUUCCUAAACAUUCAGAACAUUUGAAUGAAUGGCAUUAAGUAGUGCUUAUAAUACCAAUUAGAUAUCUGAAACAUGUCUAAAUAUCAAAAAAUCAGCACCGUGAUAAAUGUAACAUCUUUGUCAAAUGGAGAGACCCAUAUUUUUUAUGUUAUCUUUGGGUGGGGGUUCAACAUGCCUUCUCUUAGUAUUGUACUCUUCAUCUUGAAUGUACUCUUCAUCUUCAUUGCUCCUCUCAUCAUCAUCACUGGCCACCUUGCCAGCUUGCUGACCUAGACUACCCUGUGCCCGAGCAACCAGUUCUUCAGCCAGACGCAAAUUAAAGUCAAAAUAUUGUAGCUUCUUCCUCAAUGGUUUCCCAGACACCUGGUGGUCUGACCAGCACUCAAUCCAGCUGUUUGUGGCUGCCGAUCAAAAACGUGAUAGAAUGAAUAGUCAGUUCUUUUGCGUGGCUUGACUUUGGGUAAAACCUGAUUAUGCAAUCAUACAAAUCAACCCCACCCAUGUUUUUGCUGUACUCAGCUACAAAAGCAGGUCUGGGCACAAUAAUGCGGCAGCUCUCUUUUGCCGUCCAUCCCCUGCAGGUAUCUUGGGUGCUCUAUUCCAUAGCCACUUGAAGCCAUCAGAACCACCUUAUUGUCCUGCCACUUUCUCACUGCAACCUCUAAUGGUUUGUGGACAACCAUUUCAGAUGUGCCUCUGCCUUGUUCUUGUAACUUUUUAGUUACUUUUUAUUGAGACCUCCACUUCCAGAGGGCAUCAUUCUUUUUCUCCUCCUCAGAGACAUUAAGGUCAUUAGUGACUUUGAUGGUCUGCCUAAUCUUGAAGAAUCUGUUACGAGACUAGCUAUAACAGGGACCCUUGUCUUUGCUGCCCAGUACAUGUGGAUCCUGGGGUAUCUGAGACAUGCCAUGUAAAUGAAGAUACCAAAGAAGGCUUUGAGCUCUUCCACAGUGGGGUUAAGGCUGCUUUCAGAGAUAAGCACCUCUCACUGGUUUGUGUAUUCUGCCAUGUUUUCAAAAAUGCUGUUAUUUAUGUAUUGUUUGAAGUCAUCAGUCGGCUUCUAGUCUUGAUGAUUGUGCCUAGUGCUUUCCUGCAAGGCAUUCUCCUCCAGAACAGGGCUGAAACUAAGUUGAUGAAAAAAGGAGAUGUAUAGUUUAACAUAAUGCAAUAUAUUAUAUAAUUGCUAUUACAAAGUUUUAGAUUGUCUCUAUGUGUUCUCUAUUAAAAAAAGAUCAGACUUUCCUUUGCAGAAACUAUUUCCAAUAAAUUCCACGACCCUAGCUUAUACAUUGCUUUUCAUCCAUAUUGGUUGGUAGAUGUCUUCACUUUGGUCCUGUUCAGGCUCCUCUGAACCUUCACCCUUCUGCUCUACUAUCUGGCCCUCCUCCUCAUCAUCUCCUGACAGUUCUUAUGUCUAACUCUCCUUUCACAAUUCUCUUUGAGAUCAUCUCUGCCUCACUCAGCCCUCUGUUCCCUGAAGCAUGAAAUUAGUUAGUCCCGCUGUCCCCUACAGAUGACACUGGAUAAAACUUGUGUUUUGACAGUGUCAACAUCAUUGUACAUUUCUCAAAUUUUACUAAAUUAUGGUGAAGGCUUUCAUAUUGAAGAGGAAAUGUAAUGUUUAGCAACAGACAUGAUUUUUGAAAGAAAAUUGACCACUUACUACCUCUGCUGCCAUAAAAUGUGGAUGCAGGGAUUUCCACCAUUUUAAAAAGGGAAGUGCAUGUUCUCUGUUAGCCACACCCCCACAACUGUGGCAUCAGUAGAAAGCCCAGGAUGUCCUCUUUACAGCACAGUGAGACUAAUAUAGGUUGCAAAUGUGAUGUUUAAAUUAGAGGGCUGAAAAUCAUGUCCCCCACAGAGGACAAAAAUGAAUUGAUGGGUCUCAGGAGGAUAAAACCACACACAUGUAUGUGAGGGGACAAAAACAAACUGGUAAGAACAAGAUAGUGACAAUAUCGGGAAGUUGCUUUACCUUUCCUCAGUGUGGAGCCAAGUUGAGUUUUAGUUACAAUAUAGUGUCAGCACUAUAUACUGUUGGAGCAGAUGAUGUAAAAAAGCACGAAUGUGUUUGACUUUAAACUGUCUUUGUACAAUCCUUCCUAGAGUCAACAGCCAGAGGGUAAGCUUUUGCUGGUAUUAAAUUGGCUUUUUUUUCACCAAAUUAAUUAAGCCCAAAUUAUUCAUACCCCUGACAAAUUUCGGUUAAUUUUUAUCAACAUAUUAUUUGUAUGUUUUUGGAGUGGCCCAACUAGUCCCGACUUCAACCUGACAGAGAAUCUGUGGAGGGAGUUCAAGAUUAGAGUGAUGGGAAGGAGGCCUUCCAACCUCAGAAACGUGGAGCUCAUCAUCAGAAUAACAUUGGAAUCGUGGAAAAAGCUGGUCAGCAAAUAAAUUAAAGUAUUACCGAUGCCUGGUAGACUGUCUCGUCACACAGACAUUUACCUACUGAAUGACAUGGAGACCGAUCCGCAGGCUGGGUGAUAAUAGGACGCCCGGUGCAGUCUGGUGCUGCACUGUGACUGUAGACACACGACUUGACUAGAGGGACCUUUGAAGCUCGGCCAGUAUAGUUUUCUCUUCAACCUUCAGUGUCUAACAUCUGCUAAAGUGUCCUUAUAGUGCACCAACAGACACUUAAACAGUGAAUCCUGGACCUCAACUUGUGUAUUAAAUGCUAUGUGGAUGCCUGAGAAGCUGAAAAAUACCAUCUUCACAAAAGAAAGGACACUAACUGUUGACAGCGACCCACUACAUCACAUAUGCGAUCAUUUCCGUUGUGGAUGAACUAGAUAAUCAAACCUUAAUAAUGAAUUAUCAGAGUUAUAGAUUGAAUGUGGGUGUCCAUCAUCCCCAACAAGCUGCUGCACACCGCUCCUUAUCUUUCAUCUCUUUCCCAUCUUUAACACUUCUCCAUCAGGGGAAAAGAAUAUUUUAGUUUUUGCAAGCAUCUAGAUAUUUAUAAAAUGUCAUCUCUGUAUUAACAGCUCAUACUCUAUGGCACAGUGUGUUUGUUGUUUUAAAUGAUAGUUCUUUGUCAGGGACCAAGCUGCUUCCCAACAGGCUACAAAAUCAUUGGACAAAUGACUUAUUUUGACUCAGUCAUGUAAGAAAAUCCUCCUGUUUGGGGAAAAAUGUCAUCUGGUCUUUAGGUGCUUAGUUUAGGUUGAUGGGUGUUACAGGAUUGUUAUUACUAAAAUAUAGACAAUAACCUUUCAAUCUUCUUUCCAAAUAAUUUGGAGACAUUUUUGGGCAUUUGGGAAACAAGCAUGUUAAAUUAUACUGAGAAAUCAUUCAUAAUUUAUACAUCCAAAAAUGUUCAGUCUCACAUUUUCUGUCCACCUGCGUCACUUCAGUUAUUGCACCAGGAGUUCUGCUUUCAUGCAGAUGGGUGAAGAAACCCAGAAAGCAGCAGUAGAACAACGUCUGCCGUGUAAAAUGAACUUUGAAUGGAUUCAAAAUUCUUAUCAUGGGUGUGUAGCUAAAGGGGCUCCGAGAUGUGUAUAAAAUUAAACAUGCCCUUUACAAGUAAGUAGAAAUAAAUGCAGAUAAACAACAACACAGUUCAUUAUUACUGUGGGUCAGUAUAUGUAAAAAUAAUCCAGUAUGGAAGAUUAUCAUAACAUCUGUAGUUAAUAGUGGUGUAAUAAAACAAAUGAUUUAAUUAUGAAAGACAAUAAAUGACCCAGAUCAGUGCAUCAGAUGACAAUCACUUCAAGGUGUUGCUGAUACAGAAGGUUGGCAAAACUGCUGAGUUAUUUAUUUUCUACCAUUUUUUAUUUAUUUUUAGCUAAAUAAAUAAUUGUUUUAUUCCUACUAAGAAUCAGAUUUUUUUUUUGUUUCAAUCUGAAUCAUACAACGCUAAAUUAUUAGUUCAUAGGUAAAAUCUCUAAUAUGUAUGUAAAGAUUCUAGGGUUUAUGAGAUAUUAUAUAUUGGUUACACUUCCCCCUUUGUUUUUUAAUAACAUGUAAGAAAAUAGCAGUUUUACGUCACUUUCUUUCUGUAACAGUGUUGUAAAAUAUUUAAAGAGCCCAUUUAAUCUUCGAGUACGAAGUUGAUGUAAUCUUAUGUUUUGGCAAAGUUAGCUUUUAUUUGAAAAACAGUAAAUUAUUUUAUUCAUUUUGUACACAGCUGCAGUGUUUUCUUCUACCAUAUUCCAUUAUAUAAUGUAGUGUGAAAUAAAACCCAUUUUGAGGGGAUAUUGUGUGUAGGAGAACCAGACCAGCUGUAGUUAUGAAACAAUGUUUUAGUUCUUUUGAAGGCCAACAUCUUCAAACACUCAAUCUGAGAUGGUCAGAAAUGGUGAACUGUGAUGCUGCUGCUCAUUCUUUGUUUUUAGAGUGACGAACUAAGCUUUGGGCAUGCAUUGCGCAGUUUGUGACAAGUGGGAGAAAAUAAUGCUAAGAUUAAUUAUUCUCCUUUAGGUAUUUUAUUAGUGUCAUUAUUAUAAUAAAAAUAUGUGAUAAAUACCUAAAAUUUGAAGCACACACAAUCCAAAGGAUAAAUCGUCAUGUGUUCUCAUUUUGUAAACGUUUCCAAGGUUUUAAAUGCUUUAUACAUGUUUAACUUUCUGUUCAUGUUACCCUCAUUUUAUUUAAAUGUUACUCCUUCAGUCUGUUUAUCUGAAGUCAGUUAAUUUUUUUUCUAAAAAUCAUUUGUGUUUAUCUUUCUAAUUAUGUACAUUUUUCCUUGUUUCGAAUGUUUUAAUUGGUUUAGAUGCCAUGAGAAGCUACAAUAGCCUUGUUUUGGGGGUAAAAAAUGGCAGCUGAAGUGAACUGCUGUGAUAAUGGGGCAGUGUGAGUCGCUGAAUGUAUCAUGUUACUUAAAAUUGGUUUAUUUUUUUUUAUUUAAAAAAAUGGACUAGAGUCCAUUCAGAGAAAUUGAUAGAAAUCAGAACAGAAUCCUCCGAGACACUCUGACACCAGAGGAACAAAAUAAGGGUCAUUAACCUUUACCUAGAGGAGAAUAAAGGAGAGGACAGAAACCCACAGCAAAUACUAACAUCAAAUAAUAAACAUCUCUACAGUAACACGUGAUGACUGUGAAUAUGCACUACUGAUUAGCAUCAUUAAAUCCAAAUCCGUUCCCUGACCAAAUAUCAAACUGAACUUGUGCUUUAUGUUAUUUCAUAAGUGCCUUGUCUGUUCACCAGUGUGCCUCAGCUAAAAAAUGUUGGACACUUAUUUUUUAAAUUUAUACUAAACAAAAAAAGCAUCUGUUAACUAAAUUACAUGAGAAAAGAUCAGUAUAUUUAAAGGCCUUACAAUGGGCUAUAGAAGCUUUUUCUGUUGCGUUUUUGUAUAUUUGGUUAAAAGAGGUGUUUCAUGUGGAUUUCCACGUGAUUCCAGUUUUUAAGGGAGUUACUAUUUUUAAGGCUGUCGCGUUAAAUUUGGCACAUUUGUUUAUAGCCAUAUUCUGAUCUGAUCUUUAGAUAUAAAACUACUGUAAUGGUAUGUGGUAGUUUAUUUCUGAAAUUAUGAAACUGUGCAGUAGGGUCCACCAUUGAGAACAAAUGUAAAAGUGGUUUUCUCUCAUCUGUAUUUUCAUGUUUUAAUUUAGUAUUUUGUUAAACCAAACAAUUGGAGCAUUCUUAAAAAGCUGUUUGUUAAAAAUAAAUAUAUCCAUAAUUUUA
Molecule: RNA transcript, 12634 nt
Organism: Girardinichthys multiradiatus
Lineage: Eukaryota; Metazoa; Chordata; Actinopteri; Cyprinodontiformes; Goodeidae
Gene name: natural resistance-associated macrophage protein 2-like
Exons: 17
Source: RefSeq, a predicted model, not a curated record